CGCACCUUGCGCUCUGUGGUAUUCCGCAGAGCAUGCCUGUUUGAGUGUCGCGCUCCCUUCUCAACCCCAUCUCUAGUCCUCUAGGGUGCGGGCUUGGAUCGUGGCCCCAGCGGCUGAUGUCGAAAGACGAAAGCCGCGGGCCGAAAUGCGCGCCAGCACAUACCUGCUGCAUGGCUAGACUGACGUUGUACGCAUCCUCGUCCGGUCGCGGCUUGCAGACACAGUUGCUACGAAUUCAACUUUUUGAACUUUCGACCUCAAAUCAGGCAGGACUACCCGCUGAACUUAA
Molecule: unclassified non-coding RNA, 289 nt
Filed under: Agaricostilbales sp.
Lineage: Eukaryota; Fungi; Basidiomycota; Agaricostilbomycetes; Agaricostilbales
Description: partial contains 5.8S ribosomal RNA, internal transcribed spacer 2, and large subunit ribosomal RNA
Source: RNAcentral